ACACCUUCGGGUUUAAGCUCCAAAUUCUUAGUGUUUUUUUUUUUGAUAUUUAAUUGAAUUUUUCGGCUAGUUUUAAGAAUAAAGUGUAUCAUAUUUUAAGCAUAAAAUUAAAGCAAAAAACUAUACAUAUAACGCUUGGCUAGGUGACCAGAAAUACCACAAGAACACGACACUCUUCGCACCUCUUCGAAUGGAUAACUUGGUAAUAAUAUUGCAAUUUAGGAUUAAGUUAUUUGUUUGCUCUACAGUCUGGGACAAAACACAUAAUAAUAAUAAAAGAAUUCAGAUCCUCUCUCUCCGUGCUAAAGAAUUCUCUAACAACGACAACACAUUAUACACAUGGCUCUUAGAAGGCUCUUGGUAAGACCAAUUCAAUGAAGGCGACACAAAUGGAAACCAUCUACACAUAUACUCGAAGCACACUUACUGGGACGAAUAUUGCUACCGAAACUACUUCUGGGAUACUCGCACCGGAAUAUUAAUAAUAAUAAUAUAAUAAAACAAAGUUCAAAUAUAAUAAUAAACACUUGAAACACUA
Long non-coding RNA from Drosophila rhopaloa, 538 nucleotides. RefSeq lists it as uncharacterized. NCBI's taxonomy places the organism in Eukaryota, Metazoa, Arthropoda, Insecta, Diptera, Drosophilidae. The record is from RefSeq and is a predicted model, not a curated record. The transcript is spliced from 3 exons.